CUGCAAGCGCGGUCUAUCGCCUCGGCUAAGUCGGGGAGGAAAGUCCGGACAGCAUAGAGUACCGCACUCUUGGAAACAGGAGGACUCGGCAUAGCCGAGGACAGAAAGUGCCACAGAAAAUAACUACCCUCGGCUUCGCCGAGGGAAAAGGUGAAAAUGUGAGGUAAGAGCUCACAGCUUGUAUAGGUAACUAUACUCGAGGGUAAACCUUGCGGGCUGCAAAGCCAAAUAAGUCCCGAUUUUGGAGCUACUCGUUCCAAGCCUAGUGCAGCGGGAUGGGUAGGCUGCGUAGAUAAAUGAUAGACACCACUCCGGUGGAACAGAAUCCGGCUUAUGCGCUUGUAGUUUU
RNAcentral lists this RNase P RNA (349 nucleotides) under Saprospiraceae bacterium. Its description in RNAcentral is "RNase P RNA component class A". It matches the Rfam family "Bacterial RNase P class A". Rfam says of the family: Ribonuclease P (RNase P) is a ubiquitous endoribonuclease, found in archaea, bacteria and eukarya as well as chloroplasts and mitochondria. Its best characterised activity is the generation of mature 5'-ends of tRNAs by cleaving the 5'-leader elements of precursor-tRNAs. Lineage: Bacteria; Pseudomonadati; Bacteroidota; Saprospiria; Saprospirales; Saprospiraceae. The record is from RNAcentral.